GUGCAGAUCUCCGUAUUGGAGGGGCGUAGAAAGGAGGCCAUAUUGUACAGUUAAAUUGAAAGAACGAAAAUAAUUAUAUCAGCGUGAAGUGGGCACUAUUUAUCGUAAUAUUUUUAUCUCCUGUCUUUCAACGACGUUAGUUGAAAUUCACAGUUACAAAACAAGUAAGGGGGGCCAAUCCGUGGGUUCCUGAUAUUUUAUACAUAAGUAUAUUUUAGUAGUGUAUUUCGAUCGAGAGGCAUCGUCGGUCUAUAUUACAGGAGUUUGUUGCUGCAAGCGAAAUGGGCACUCGAGAUGACGAAUAUGAUUAUUUAUUUAAAGUUGUCCUUAUUGGUGAUUCUGGAGUAGGAAAAAGUAACCUACUAUCUCGUUUCACACGCAAUGAGUUUAAUUUGGAAUCAAAGUCUACUAUAGGUGUUGAAUUUGCAACACGCAGUAUACAAGUAGAUGGUAAAACUAUUAAAGCUCAAAUUUGGGAUACAGCUGGACAAGAACGUUAUCGAGCCAUUACCUCUGCAUACUAUCGGGGUGCAGUUGGAGCAUUGUUGGUAUAUGAUAUUGCAAAACAUUUGACAUAUGAAAAUGUUGAAAGAUGGUUACGAGAAUUACGGGACCAUGCAGAUCAAAAUAUUGUGAUCAUGUUAGUGGGAAACAAAUCAGACUUAAGGCAUUUACGUGCAGUUCCAACUGAUGAGGCUAAAGCAUUUGCAGAAAAAAAUGGUCUUUCAUUUAUUGAAACCUCUGCUUUAGAUUCUACUAAUGUUGAAACAGCGUUCCAAAAUAUAUUAACAGAAAUAUACAGAAUCGUAUCACAAAAACAGAUACGAGAUCCACCAGAGGGAGAUACAAUUCGACCCCAAAAUGUAGAACCUAUUGAUGUCAAGCCGACAAUGAAUUCUGAUGGAAUGCGUAAACAGUGCUGUCAGUGACUUACCUUGCUGCUUAAAAUGUGUGUAUAGGCGAAUGCAAUACAAAUAUUCCAGAAAAGCAGUCUCAAGGAGGAAGAAUGGAAUAAGAUACUGAUGAUAAAUAUGGCAAGUGCAUAAUAAUUUGAAAUCUAAGACUAUAUGCACAAGUCCAUAAUGUCAUAUGUUUGAAGAAUUUGUAACCCCAACAACAUCAGGGUAUACUAUUCACUGAUGCUCUUAUGAGUAUAUAUUAUGCAUUCACAGAAAUAGUUAACAAAAAAAAGAAAAAAAACAAGCAUCAUGGUUAUGUAUGAUGCAGUAAAAGUGAAUACAUAUGCAUUAUUCUGUCCUUUAAA
This is an RNA transcript of Vespa crabro (European hornet), 1264 nucleotides long. It is a transcript of the gene named ras-related protein Rab-11A, with no coding region annotated. The record is from RefSeq and is a predicted model, not a curated record. NCBI's taxonomy places the organism in Eukaryota, Metazoa, Arthropoda, Insecta, Hymenoptera, Vespidae. The transcript has 5 exons.